GGGAAACUGCCUGAUGGAGGGGGAUAACUACUGGAAACGGUAGCUAAUACCGCAUAACGUCGCAAGACCAAAGUGGGGGACCUUCGGGCCUCAUGCCAUCAGAUGUGCCCAGAUGGGAUUAGCUAGUAGGUGAGGUAAUGGCUCACCUAGGCGACGAUCCCUAGCUGGUCUGAGAGGAUGACCAGCCACACUGGAACUGAGACACGGUCCAGACUCCUACGGGAGGCAGCAGUGGGGAAUAUUGCACAAUGGGCGCAAGCCUGAUGCAGCCAUGCCGCGUGUAUGAAGAAGGCCUUCGGGUUGUAAAGU
RNAcentral lists this ribosomal RNA (309 nucleotides) under uncultured bacterium. RNAcentral's name for it is "bacterial SSU rRNA". It matches the Rfam family "Bacterial small subunit ribosomal RNA", at positions 120 to 431 of the family's 1533-position model. The record is from RNAcentral.